AUUGAACGCUGGCGGCAGGCCUAACACAUGCAAGUCGAGCGGAUGAAGGGAGCUUGCUCCUGGAUUCAGCGGCGGACGGGUGAGUAAUGCCUAGGAAUCUGCCUGGUAGUGGGGGAUAACGUCCGGAAACGGGCGCUAAUACCGCAUACGUCCUGAGGGAGAAAGUGGGGGAUCUUCGGACCUCACGCUAUCAGAUGAGCCUAGGUCGGAUUAGCUAGUUGGUGGGGUAAAGGCCUACCAAGGCGACGAUCCGUAACUGGUCUGAGAGGAUGAUCAGUCACACUGGAACUGAGACACGGUCCCGACUCCUACGGGAGGCAGCAGUGGGGAAUAUUGGACAAUGGGCGAAAGCCUGAUCCAGUCAUGCCGCGUGUGUGAAGAAGGUCUUCGGAUUGUAAAGCACUUUAAGUUGGGAGGAAGGGCAGUAAGUUAAUACCUUGCUGUUUUGACGUUACCAACAGAAUAAGCACCGGCUAACUUCGUG
Molecule: ribosomal RNA, 484 nt
Filed under: uncultured bacterium
Lineage: Bacteria
Description: partial 16S ribosomal RNA
Rfam family: Bacterial small subunit ribosomal RNA
Source: RNAcentral